This 674-nucleotide long non-coding RNA is filed under the name Danio rerio (zebrafish). RNAcentral describes it as "si:ch211-149k23.4 (ENSDARG00000095495.4)". The record is from RNAcentral. Lineage: Eukaryota; Metazoa; Chordata; Actinopteri; Cypriniformes; Danionidae.
AGAUCCCAAGCCACGGAGCUUGCGGGAAAUGUUGCCCUAGUCAAGAAUCUUUUCCAGUAAUCAGCAUUAGCACUUAUAUUGUCUUGAGCUUAGGCCGCUGCUCAUCCACAGUUUCUCCAUUCUCCACUUUCUCUUCCUCCUCUAAUGCCGGAUUUCCUUGAUCAGCUUCACUUGGUGUGGGGAAGAUGCAGGGAUGCUCUCCGAAAGCACAAUCCAAACUGAGCCAUCGCGUGAAGAGGGAUGAGGUUGAGAAUAGAAGACCUUCAGGUGAUGACUCAACAGAUGGAAAAGCAGAGAGAUCUGGAAGUUCUAGGAUUUUCUGUUUACAAAAGAUGACAAAUAACAUUGAAGAUCUCUCAGUAAUCAAUAAUGUAAAUAUGUUGCUACAGCAUUUUAAAAUUAUGCUAUGAUUAUGGUAGGAUAAAAAGGAGAUGCAAAUGUAUGUAGAAUUUAUAUAUGACAGUACCUCUUUUGCUAUGUUGUCCAAUGUGUGCGUCAGCUCGCUGAUGAACCCGUAUUUGAGGUGAACUCUGUUGAGGUGUUGGAGGAGCUGAAGCCAAGAAUGUGACAGGAUUGCAGCAGCACUGAACACACAACACUACACUCACACACACAAAGACACAACAAAUCAAAAUUAGGUCUCGGUAUUUAAUAAAGUUUAUAAAAACUGUCAA